Long non-coding RNA from Astatotilapia calliptera (eastern happy), 1232 nucleotides. The record is from Ensembl. Lineage: Eukaryota; Metazoa; Chordata; Actinopteri; Cichliformes; Cichlidae.
UAUGUUGAACACCACGACCGAGCAACGUUAUCCAGGACCGAACAGGGAGGCAAGCCACUGGGCAGGCAGGAACAUCUUCCAUGUUCCUGGAGACUCAAAGGAGAAUCCAGCUUUAAAAUCUCCUCCAAUGACUCCAUAGUGAAGAAUCUGAGCAUCGGUGACUUCAGGGUUUCCAUCCUGCAGAGCUGUUGGAAACAUGAACCAUCAACAGUUACUGUUUGUACUUCCUGUAAGAAGCUGCAGUCUGAUCACAACAUUCACACACAGACACACUGAGACUAAAGUCUGAAUAACAACAAUGAUUCAUGUCAAAUACAUUUUAUUGUCUAAAGUGGUGGAAAAUCUUCUUCCAGUCGACACGACUCAAAAUAUAUCUGAACAUGUUUCCUAUGCAUGAAUAAAAUGACAAUAAAAGAUGAAGAUGAACAAAACAUGACAUGUAAAUGACUCAUAACUCCUCUGUGUGGUACUUGUAGUAAUUAUAUGUUGAGAGAUUGAAGCAACAGCUCAACAUGCAAGUUUUUCAUGUGUUUCAUCCACAGGAAGUGAUGUCAUCAUUUAGUUUAAAUGUACUGCUGGUGUCAAAGUUCAUGAAGCAACAACAAAACCAGUGAUGAAGUUUUUAUUUGUUGUAACUUUGUUUUACUGAGGGUGAUCGUGGCUCAAGAGUUGGGAGUUCACCUUGUAACCUGAAGGUUGCCGGUUCGAGCCCCGGCUUGGACAGUCUCAGUCGUUGUGUCCUUGGGCAAGACACUUCGUUUUUUUUUUUUUUUUGAGGAAGUAACAAAUACUUGCAAUGAACGACAUGUUAUUGAGUAAUUUAUGACUCUAUUUUACAGUUUUUUCUGAAUGCUCAAACCCUAACUGUGAUUCCUGUAGCACAAUCUCUAAAACUAUUCAGACUUAUAGCAAAACCACUCACUGAGUUUGCAAAACUAAAAGCACAAAAACUGCUUUGCACUCAGUUUGCAAUUUUGUAACACACACUUUGCAAAACUGUAGGCACAAUUCACUGCACAACACUCAAUUACCAAAUUUCCAACACACUCCUAGCAAAAGCAUACACAUGUAUGGCUAUCAUUAACACUAAUUUGCCAACUGUCUGGCACACUUUCACAUGUGAAAACUUUUUUAGAUAAUUAGUUCACUUUGCAAUCAGCCUAAGCACUAUAAUACAGGUAAGCUGUGUGUGCGGAGUACAAUGGAGGGAGCAGAAAGAGUGAGAAGUAGAG